GGCGACCGGCGCGACGGGUGAGUAACGCGUACUCCAACCUUCCCUUACUCAGGGAUAGCCCCGGUGAAAACCGGAUUAACACCUGAUAGUUUCUACUAGAUGGCAUCUGAACGGUGAAUAAAGUCUUUGCGGUAAGGGAUGGGGAUGCGUCUGAUUAGCUUGUGGCGGGGUAACGGCCCACCAAGGCAACGAUCAGUAGGGGUUCUGAGAGGAAGGUCCCCCACACUGGUACUGAGACACGGACCAGACUCCUACGGGAGGCAGCAGCGAGGAAUAUUGGUCAAUGGGCGUAAGCCUGAACCAGCCAAGUAGCGUGCAGGAAUGACGGCCCUACGGGUUGUAAACUGCUUUUAUGCGGGGAUAAAGUGCGGCACGUGUGCCGCUUUGCAGGUACCGCAUGAAUAAGGACCGGCUAAUUCCGUGCCAGCAGCCGC
This 434-nucleotide ribosomal RNA is filed under the name uncultured bacterium. Its description in RNAcentral is "bacterial SSU rRNA". It matches the Rfam family "Bacterial small subunit ribosomal RNA", at positions 90 to 518 of the family's 1533-position model. The record is from RNAcentral.